CCUACGGGGCGCAGCAGUGGGGAAUUUUGCGCAAUGCUCGUAAGAGUGACGCAGCGACGCCGCGUGAAUGACGAAGGCCUUCGGGUCGUAAAGUUCUUUCGACAGGGAAGAAAAUGCCUAUAAGUAACUGUGUAUGUAUUGACGGUACCUGUAUAAGCAGCCCCGGCUACCUCCGUGCCAGCAGCCGCGGUAAUACGGAGGGGGCGAGCGUUGUCCGGAGUGACUGGGCGUAAAGAGCACGUAGGCGGUGUUGUAAGUCAUUAGUCAAAGACUAGAGCUCAACUUUAGUAAGGCUAGUGAUACUAUAAUACGAGAGUAUUAGAGAGGAUUGCAGAAUUCCUGGUGUAGCGGUGAAAUGCGUAGAUAUCAGGAGGAAUACCGUUAGCGAAGGCGGCAAUCUGGCUGGAAACUGACGCUGAGGUGCGAAAGCGUGGGUAGCAAACAGGAUUAGAUACCCCUGUAGUC
RNAcentral lists this ribosomal RNA (465 nucleotides) under uncultured bacterium. Its description in RNAcentral is "partial 16S ribosomal RNA". It matches the Rfam family "Bacterial small subunit ribosomal RNA", at positions 338 to 795 of the family's 1533-position model. The record is from RNAcentral.